GACGAACGCUGGCGGCGUGCCUAAUACAUGCAAGUAGAACGCACAGUUUAUACCGUAGCUUGCUACACCAUAGACUGUGAGUUGCGAACGGGUGAGUAACGCGUAGGUAACCUGCCUGGUAGCGGGGGAUAACUAUUGGAAACGAUAGCUAAUACCGCAUAAUAUUGAUUAUUGCAUGAUAAUUAAUUGAAAGGUGCAAUUGCACCACUACCAGAUGGACCUGCGUUGUAUUAGCUAGUAGGUGAGGUAACGGCUCACCUAGGCGACGAUACAUAGCCGACCUGAGAGGGUGAUCGGCCACGCUGGGACUGAGACACGGCCCAGAACCCUACGGGAGGCAGCAGUAGGGAAUCUUCGGCAAUGGACGAAAGUCUGACCGAGCAACACCGCGUGAGUGAAGAAGGUUUUCGGAUCGUAAAGCUCUGUUGUAAGAGAAGAACGGGUGUGAGAGUGGAAAGUUCACACUGUGACGGUAGCUUACCAGAAAGGGACGGCUAACUACGUG
Molecule: ribosomal RNA, 505 nt
Filed under: uncultured bacterium
Lineage: Bacteria
Description: partial 16S ribosomal RNA
Rfam family: Bacterial small subunit ribosomal RNA
Source: RNAcentral